CGGGACGGGUGAGUAAUGUCUGGGAAACUGCCUGAUGAGGGGGGAUAACUACUGGAAACGGGAGCUAAUACCGCAUAACGUCGCAAGACCAAAGAGGGGGACCUUCGGGCCUCUUGUCAUCGGAUGUGCCCAGAUGGGAUUAGCUAGUAGGUGGGGUAACGGCUCACCUAGGCGACGAUCCCUAGCUGGUCUGAGAGGAUGACCAGCCACACUGGAACUGAGACACGGUCCAG
RNAcentral lists this ribosomal RNA (233 nucleotides) under uncultured bacterium. Its description in RNAcentral is "partial 16S ribosomal RNA". It matches the Rfam family "Bacterial small subunit ribosomal RNA", at positions 100 to 334 of the family's 1533-position model. The record is from RNAcentral.